RNAcentral lists this ribosomal RNA (253 nucleotides) under uncultured bacterium. RNAcentral describes it as "partial 16S ribosomal RNA". It matches the Rfam family "Bacterial small subunit ribosomal RNA", at positions 524 to 776 of the family's 1533-position model. The record is from RNAcentral.
UACGUAGGCAGCGAGCGUUGUUCGGAAUUACUGGGCGUAAAGAGUGUGUAGGCGGUGCUCUAAGCUCGGUGUGAAAUCUCCUGGCUCAACUGGGAGGGUGCGCCGGAAACUGGAGUGCUUGAGCGUGGGAGAGGAAAGCGGAAUUCCUGGUGUAGCGGUGAAAUGCGUAGAGAUCGUAAGGAAGGCCAGUGGCGAAGGCGAGUUCCUGGACAGUUACUGACGCUGAGGCACGAAGGCCAGGGGAGCAAACGGG